CAGGUGGUCAGGUAGAGAAUACCAAGGCGCUUGAGAGAACUCGGGUGAAGGAACUAGGCAAAAUGGUGCCGUAACUUCGGGAGAAGGCACGCUGACAUGUAGGUGAAGUGAUUUACUCAUGGAGCUGAAGUCAGUCGAAGAUACCAGCUGGCUGCAACUGUUUAUUAAAAACACAGCACUGUGCAAACACGAAAGUGGACGUAUACGGUGUGACGCCUGCCCGGUGCCGGAAGGUUAAUUGAUGGGGUCAGCGCAAGCGAAGCUCCUGAUCGAAGCCCCGGUAAACGGCGGCCGUAACUAUAACGGUCCUAAGGUAGCGAAAUUCCUUGUCGGGUAAGUUCCGACCUGCACGAAUGGCGUAAUGAUGGCCAGGCUGUCUCCACCCGAGACUCAGUGAAAUUGAACUCGCUGUGAAGAUGCAGUGUACCCGCGGCAAGACGGAAAGACCCCGUGAACCUUUACUAUAGCUUGACACUGAACAUUGAGCCUUGAUGUGUAGGAUAGGUGGGAGGCUUUGAAGUGUGGACGCCAGUCUGCAUGGAGCCGACCUUGAAAUACCACCCUUUAAUGUUUGAUGUUCUAACGUGGACCCGUGAUCCGGGUUGCGGACAGUGUCUGGUGGGUAGUUUGACUGGGGCGGUCUCCUCCUAAAGAGUAACGGAGGAGCACGAAGGUUGGCUAAUCCUGGUCGGACAUCAGGAGGUUAGUGCAAUGGCAUAAGCCAGCUUGACUGCGAGCGUGACGGCGCGAGCAGGUGCGAAAGCAGGUCAUAGUGAUCCGGUGGUUCUGAAUGGAAGGGCCAUCGCUCAACGGAUAAAAGGUACUCCGGGGAUAACAGGCUGAUACCGCCCAAGAGUUCAUAUCGACGGCGGUGUUUGGCACCUCGAUGUCGGCUCAUCACAUCCUGGGGCUGAAGUAGGUCCCAAGGGUAUGGCUGUUCGCCAUUUAAAGUGGUACGCGAGCUGGGUUUAGAACGUCGUGAGACAGUUCGGUCCCUAUCUGCCGUGGGCGCUGGAGAACUGAGGGGGGCUGCUCCUAGUACGAGAGGACCGGAGUGGACGCAUCACUGGUGUUCGGGUUGUCAUGCCAAUGGCACUGCCCGGUAGCUAAAUGCGGAAGAGAUAAGUGCUGAAAGCAUCUAAGCACGAAACUUGCCCCGAGAUGAGUUCUCCCUGAGACUUAAAGUCUCCUGAAGGAACGUUGAAGACGACGACGUUGAUAGGCCGGGUGUGUAAGCGCAGCGAUGCGUUGAGCUAACCGGUACUAAUGAACCGUGAGGCUUAACCUUACA
RNAcentral lists this ribosomal RNA (1291 nucleotides) under Salmonella enterica. RNAcentral describes it as "partial 23S ribosomal RNA". It matches the Rfam family "Bacterial large subunit ribosomal RNA", at positions 1660 to 2925 of the family's 2925-position model. RNAcentral also lists the same sequence under 1 other name. The record is from RNAcentral. Lineage: Bacteria; Pseudomonadati; Pseudomonadota; Gammaproteobacteria; Enterobacterales; Enterobacteriaceae.